CAUAAAAAUAGAAAUAAAAAAUAAUAAUAUAAUAUUCUAUUAAAGUGAAUUCAAAAUUGUUUUCUUUUCUUUCUUUUUUAUUGCUUAUCUUGAAUUAAAUUGGAAGAAUAGUAUUUCAUUCUCUGUAUUAAAAGAUAUGCCUUAUUUAUGGUAGAAGCUUCCUUCUGAAGAAUACGUUACAAGAUUACAAAACAAAAGCAAAUAGAAACAUGAAACUUAAAACACGGUGCGUAUUAAUAAAAUGUAUAGAGUUAAAUAUAUCGUAACAAAAUCAAUAAGGCAACGCUUGCAGAUCAAAGAAAGAUUAAAAAAUGUGGAAUGCAAUGUCUAAAAUGAAUUUAUAUAAGAAAUGAAACAAGAUUACAGCGAGAGAAAUCUUGUCUAUGACAAGUUGGCAUGUGAGAUUGGAUUCUAAAAAAUUGAAUUACCAUUCAACAAAAUAUAAUAGCUUUUAGAAAGUACGAGGAUCUAUCCGUGGAGACGUACUAUAGAGAUUAGAGACACAUGCAUCAUUCAGACAGGCAUAUAACAGGACUUUUGUAAGUGAUUUGAUUUUAAAUCAAUACAUAUAUACUUGUUAAGUAUCACAUGGACAGUAAUAUUAUUCAUUGUUCUACAUAUCAUGUUCUUAUACAUAAAAACUAGAAAUGUUUAUUAAUUAAUUAAUUUAAUUAAACAUAUCCCACUACCAAUAUGAUACGGAAUUUAUUUGUGCAAAUUGAAAAAUUGUUAUUGCGUUAGGGAUGAAUAAUGCCAGAUGAAUAAUAGCCAUGAGAUAAUGUAGUACUUACUAGAUUUCCUAUAAUUAGAAAUAAAUGAAAUUAAAAAUGUGUUGAUCGAAUAUAUGCCUACAAGAUACUAGUUCUGGACGAGAUACGAAUAAACUAAAGGAGCUCGCCUUGAGCUCGCGCAUGUAGCCGAUACAAUCACCGCAACGUAAUGAAUGAUGACUAAUGUUUGGAUCAUCAAUUCAAUGACAUUUGAUGUACAUGGCACGUGCAUUUGUUUUUCGCGCGUAUAA
Long non-coding RNA from Bombus impatiens (common eastern bumble bee), 1021 nucleotides. RefSeq lists it as uncharacterized. Lineage: Eukaryota; Metazoa; Arthropoda; Insecta; Hymenoptera; Apidae. The record is from RefSeq and is a predicted model, not a curated record. The transcript has 2 exons.